AGAGUUUGAUCCUGGCUCAGAGCGAACGCUGGCGGCAGGCCUAAUACAUGCAAGUCGAGCGGUCCCUUCGGGGGCAGCGGCGGACGGGUGAGUAACGCGUGGGAACGUGCCCUUUGGUACGGAACAACUGAGGGAAACUUCAGCUAAUACCGUAUGUGCCCUUCGGGGGAAAGAUUUAUCGCCAUUGGAGCGGCCCGCGUUGGAUUAGGUAGUUGGUGAGGUAAAGGCUCACCAAGCCUACGAUCCAUAGCUGGUCUGAGAGGAUGAUCAGCCACACUGGGACUGAGACACGGCCCAGACUCCUACGGGAGGCAGCAGUAGGGAAUCUUGCGCAAUGGGCGAAAGCCUGACGCAGCCAUGCCGCGUGAAUGAUGAAGGUCUUAGGAUUGUAAAAUUCUUUCACCGGGGACGAUAAUGACGGUACCCGGAGAAGAAGCCCCGGCUAACUUCGUGCCAGCAGCCGCGGUAAUACGAAGGGGGCUAGCGUUGCUCGGAAUUACUGGGCGUAAAGGGAGCGUAGGCGGAUAGUUUAGUCAGAGGUGAAAGCCCAGGGCUCAACCUUGGAAUUGCCUUUGAUACUGGCUAUCUUGAGUAUGGAAGAGGUAUGUGGAACUCCGAGUGUAGAGGUGAAAUUCGUAGAUAUUUGGAAGAACACCAGUGGCGAAGGCGACAUACUGGUCCAUUACUGACGCUGAGGCUCGAAAGCGUGGGGAGCAAACAGGAUUAGAUACCCUGCUAGUCCACGCCGUAAACGAUGAGUGCUAGUUGUCGGCAUGCAUGCAUGUCGGUGACGCAGCUAACGCAUUAAGCACUCCGCCUGGGGAGUACGGUCGCAAGAUUAAAACUCAAAGGAAUUGACGG
This 861-nucleotide ribosomal RNA is filed under the name uncultured bacterium. RNAcentral describes it as "bacterial SSU rRNA". It matches the Rfam family "Bacterial small subunit ribosomal RNA", at positions 8 to 916 of the family's 1533-position model. The record is from RNAcentral.